GCUAUACAUGCAGUAGAACGCUGAAGAGAGGAGCUUGCUCUUCUUGGAUGAGUUGCGAACGGGUGAGUAACGCGUAGGUAACCUGCCUUGUAGCGGGGGAUAACUAUUGGAAACGAUAGCUAAUACCGCAUAACAAUGGAUGACACAUGUCAUUUAUUUGAAAGGGGCAAUUGCUCCACUACAAGAUGGACCUGCGUUGUAUUAGCUAGUAGGUGAGGUAACGGCUCACCUAGGCGACGAUACAUAGCCGACCUGAGAGGGUGAUCGGCCACACUGGGACUGAGACACGGCCCAGACUCCUACGGGAGGCAGCAGUAGGGAAUCUUCGGCAAUGGGGGCAACCCUGACCGAGCAACGCCGCGUGAGUGAAGAAGGUUUUCGGAUCGUAAAGCUCUGUUGUAAGUCAAGAACGAGUGUGAGAGUGGAAAGUUCACACUGUGACGGUAGCUUACCAGAAAGGGACGGCUAACUACGUGCCAGCAGCCGCGGUAAUACGUAGGUCCCGAGCGUUGUCCGGAUUUAUUGGGCGUAAAGCGAGCGCAGGCGGUUUGAUAAGUCUGAAGUUAAAGGCUGUGGCUCAACCAUAGUUCGCUUUGGAAACUGUCAAACUUGAGUGCAGAAGGGGAGAGUGGAAUUCCAUGUGUAGCGGUGAAAUGCGUAGAUAUAUGGAGGAACACCGGUGGCGAAAGCGGCUCUCUGGUCUGUAACUGACGCUGAGGCUCGAAAGCGUGGGGAGCGAACAGGAUUAGAUACCCUGGUAGUCCACGCCGUAAACGAUGAGUGCUAGUGUUGGAUCCUUUCCGGGAUUCAGUGCCGCAGCUAACGCAUUAAGCACUCCGCCUGGGGAGUACGACCGCAAGGUUGAAACUCAAGGAAUUGACGGGGGCC
This 888-nucleotide ribosomal RNA is filed under the name Streptococcus salivarius. Its description in RNAcentral is "bacterial SSU rRNA". It matches the Rfam family "Bacterial small subunit ribosomal RNA", at positions 48 to 921 of the family's 1533-position model. Lineage: Bacteria; Bacillati; Bacillota; Bacilli; Lactobacillales; Streptococcaceae. The record is from RNAcentral.